Long non-coding RNA from Phyllostomus discolor (pale spear-nosed bat), 101 nucleotides. RefSeq lists it as uncharacterized. Lineage: Eukaryota; Metazoa; Chordata; Mammalia; Chiroptera; Phyllostomidae. The transcript has 3 exons. The record is from RefSeq and is a predicted model, not a curated record.
UUUUUUAAAAAAAAAAAAGUCACUUUGAAGCAAAAAGGAUAGGUAAUUAUUAUUAGUAUUAUUUUCUAAAUCAAUCAAAAGCAUACCUAUUUUUUCAGAUU